CAAUAGCGUAUAUUAAAGUUGUUGCGGUUAAAAAGCUCGUAGUUGGAUUUCUGCUGAGAACGACCGGUCCGCCCUCUGGGUGUGUAUCUGGCUCUUUCUUGGCAUCUUCUUGGUGAACGUUGCUGCACUUGACUGUGUGGAGCGCUACCCAGGACUUUUACUUUGAGGAAAUUAGAGUGUUUCAAGCAGGCAUACGCCUUGAAUACAUUAGCAUGGAAUAAUAAGAUAGGACCUCGGUUCUAUUUUGUUGGUUUCUAGAGCUGAGGUAAUGAUUAAUAGGGAUAGUUGGGGGCAUUCGUAUUUAACUGUCAGGGGUGAAAUUCUUGGAUUUGUUAAAGACGGACUACUGCGAAAGCAUUUGCCAAGGAUGUUUNCAUUGG
This 380-nucleotide ribosomal RNA is filed under the name uncultured eukaryote. RNAcentral describes it as "partial 18S ribosomal RNA". It matches the Rfam family "Eukaryotic small subunit ribosomal RNA", at positions 592 to 976 of the family's 1831-position model. The record is from RNAcentral.